Molecule: long non-coding RNA, 623 nt
Filed under: Hordeum vulgare
Lineage: Eukaryota; Viridiplantae; Streptophyta; Magnoliopsida; Poales; Poaceae
Description: long non-coding RNA (HVUL_LNC006746)
Source: RNAcentral
CUUUGUAUCUCUUGUGUAGAAUGAGGACAAUGAAAGCCAGGAAGACUCCAUAGAGGUAAUUUCUGUUUCCUCCGACUCAUCUUCUCCUCCACCAAAGCCGGCCAGGCGAAUUUGUGGGAAAGUUCCCUUCUCACACCCAAAUGCUUGUUUGGAUCCAAAUUUCCUUUUGAAGAAAGCGCAACAUACUUCAAAUCGGAAAACUCGGAGUCAUUCUGGAGACUUGGUGUCCGGGUUACCAACAAGAACGAAGAAAAGGCAAAAUGAGGUAUCUUUUAAUAACACUUCUUCAUGUCCUUUUGGAUCGCGUUUGUAACUCGCUCACAUCUUUGAAGUAUUAUUUUUGCAGAGUUCUCCUCCCACAUCCGUCGACUCAGUUAAGUCGGCACUUCCACCGAUGAUCCGUGUCCCUGGGUAAGCCUUUGACAACAUUUACCUUUGUUCUGAUGGUGGUAAUAUCUGUUCUUUUAAAACGCACCCCCGUUCUCCUCUUAGGGCACAGGCGAAGAAAAGGAAAACUGGCGGGUCAACUCCCAUUACAGCUUCGGAGCCUAUUGAAAAAUCGGCGCCGAUCCAGGACAACCCGGAUCAAGACAAACCUGAAGAUCAAGUGGAUCUCCCAAGCU